This 1522-nucleotide ribosomal RNA is filed under the name metagenome. RNAcentral's name for it is "bacterial SSU rRNA". It matches the Rfam family "Bacterial small subunit ribosomal RNA". The record is from RNAcentral.
AGAGUUUGAUCAUGGCUCAGAUUGAACGCUGGCGGCAGGCCUAACACAUGCAAGUCGAACGGUAACAGGAAACAGCUUGCUGUUUCGCUGACGAGUGGCGGACGGGUGAGUAAUGUCUGGGAAACUGCCUGAUGGAGGGGGAUAACUACUGGAAACGGUAGCUAAUACCGCAUAACGUCGCAAGACCAAAGAGGGGGACCUUCGGGCCUCUUGCCAUCAGAUGUGCCCAGAUGGGAUUAGCUAGUAGGUGGGGUAACGGCUCACCUAGGCGACGAUCCCUAGCUGGUCUGAGAGGAUGACCAGCCACACUGGAACUGAGACACGGUCCAGACUCCUACGGGAGGCAGCAGUGGGGAAUAUUGCACAAUGGGCGCAAGCCUGAUGCAGCCAUGCCGCGUGUAUGAAGAAGGCCUUCGGGUUGUAAAGUACUUUCAGCGGGGAGGAAGGGAGUAAAGUUAAUACCUUUGCUCAUUGACGUUACCCGCAGAAGAAGCACCGGCUAACUCCGUGCCAGCAGCCGCGGUAAUACGGAGGGUGCAAGCGUUAAUCGGAAUUACUGGGCGUAAAGCGCACGCAGGCGGUUUGUUAAGUCAGAUGUGAAAUCCCCGGGCUCAACCUGGGAACUGCUUCUGAUACUGGCAAGCUUGAGUCUCGUAGAGGGGGGUAGAAUUCCAGGUGUAGCGGUGAAAUGCGUAGAGAUCUGGAGGAAUACCGGUGGCGAAGGCGGCCCCCUGGACGAAGACUGACGCUCAGGUGCGAAAGCGUGGGGAGCAAACAGGAUUAGAUACCCUGGUAGUCCACGCCGUAAACGAUGUCGACUUGGAGGUUGUGCCCUUGAGGCGUGGCUUCCGGAGCUAACGCGUUAAGUCGACCGCCUGGGGAGUACGGCCGCAAGGUUAAAACUCAAAUGAAUUGACGGGGGCCCGCACAAGCGGUGGAGCAUGUGGUUUAAUUCGAUGCAACGCGAAGAACCUUACCUGGUCUUGACAUCCACGGAAGUUUUCAGAGAUGAGAAUGUGCCUUCGGGAACCGUGAGACAGGUGCUGCAUGGCUGUCGUCAGCUCGUGUUGUGAAAUGUUGGGUUAAGUCCCGCAACGAGCGCAACCCUUAUCCUUUGUUGCCAGCGGUCCGGCCGGGAACUCAAAGGAGACUGCCAGUGAUAAACUGGAGGAAGGUGGGGAUGACGUCAAGUCAUCAUGGCCCUUACGACCAGGGCUACACACGUGCUACAAUGGCGCAUACAAAGAGAAGCGACCUCGCGAGAGCAAGCGGACCUCAUAAAGUGCGUCGUAGUCCGGAUUGGAGUCUGCAACUCGACUCCAUGAAGUCGGAAUCGCUAGUAAUCGUGGAUCAGAAUGCCACGGUGAAUACGUUCCCGGGCCUUGUACACACCGCCCGUCACACCAUGGGAGUGGGUUGCAAAAGAAGUAGGUAGCUUAACCUUCGGGAGGGCGCUUACCACUUUGUGAUUCAUGACUGGGGUGAAGUCGUAACAAGGUAACCGUAGGGGAACCUGCGGUUG